This is a long non-coding RNA of Cercocebus atys (sooty mangabey), 1154 nucleotides long. RefSeq lists it as uncharacterized. Lineage: Eukaryota; Metazoa; Chordata; Mammalia; Primates; Cercopithecidae. The record is from RefSeq and is a predicted model, not a curated record. The transcript is spliced from 3 exons.
UCAGGGAGAGUCUGUCUCCUGCUCUCCUAGAAGGCUUCUGCUGGUUGGUAGCAAACUAGCCUUCCUGUUCCUUGUCUCCAAGAGGCGUCACUCCAGCCUCUGCCUCUGCCCUCACGUGACUUUCUUAGUCUGUUUCUCUGUUUACGUCACCUUCUUUCUAAGAGAAGCACCAAGCAUACUGGAUUAGCCCCCCGCCUUCAUGACUUCAUCUUAACUUGAUCAUCUGCAAAGAGCCUAUUUCCAAAUCUCGCAUUCACAGGUACCGGGAGUUAGGACUUCAACAUCUUUCCAGGGACACAGCAGGGUUCCCAUGUGUGAGCUCACUUGUUAACCAUAAGGAGUAGGUGCUGUUGCACCCAUUUUGCACACAGGGCAGCCAAGGAUCUGAGAUUGACUUGCCUGGAUCACACAGCUACUGAAUGGUGGAGCCAGGCGCCGAGCCCCACCCGCCUGUCCCCAGGGUGUUUCUUCAACCAGAAGAACCAACCCUUCAACCAGAUUCACAGCCUCUCAAUACAGUCUAACAAAGGCUGAUGGUGCUUACAGGGUUGUCUGAGGUUGGUGGUCAGAUCAAGAGGCCUGUGCUUAGAAAAUCCGGAAUGAGAACCCUUGUGUUUGUACAAUGCUUCAUACCUGAGCAUCUUCCCGUCCAACAUCUGGAAAACCCGGACCCUUGGAGGCCUAGCCAAGAGCGCAGUGGCUGAGGGGAAGGACCACGGCCUGAAGCACCCAGCCCUGAAGGGUCUGGUCAGGGCACAGGCCGGGCUCUGACCUGGGACCCACUUGCGGUAGUCCCCAGGUGUGCAGGAGGCCACAUCUCAAGGAGCAAUUUUAUCUCCAAAAUUAAGGAUGCACUUUCCCAAGUCAACCACGCUCCUUUCCUCUGGUUCUCUCAUGACUCCAGAUGUAAUGAGAUGUGAGAUGUGGUGAGAGAAGGAUGAGACCUCAAGAUCACAUGGGACUCUUCACAAAUUUACAAACUGCCUGAGCUAGCGAGAAUAAAGAUACCAUUACAACUCAACCAGGUAAACCCUUCCUUUCCCAGAAGGGACUACCAACAGCUCAUUCUGCAGGGCCUCCUCAUUUCACUCCCCAGAUAUUCCCUUCCCUUCCUCCCAGCCCCCUCCUGUUCCUCUCCUGUUAACUCUGACCAU